Molecule: ribosomal RNA, 871 nt
Filed under: uncultured bacterium
Lineage: Bacteria
Description: bacterial SSU rRNA
Rfam family: Bacterial small subunit ribosomal RNA
Source: RNAcentral
UACGGGAGGCAGCAGUGGGGAAUCUUGGACAAUGGGCGCAAGCCUGAUCCAGCCAUGCCGCGUGUGUGAUGAAGGCCUUAGGGUCGUAAAGCACUUUCGCCAGAGAUGAUAAUGACAGUAUCUGGUAAAGAAACCCCGGCUAACUCCGUGCCAGCAGCCGCGGUAAUACGGAGGGGGUUAGCGUUGUUCGGAAUUACUGGGCGUAAAGCGCACGUAGGCGGACUAGUCAGUCAGAGGUGAAAUCCCAGGGCUCAACCCUGGAACUGCCUUUGAUACUGCUAGUCUUGAGUUCGAGAGAGGUGAGUGGAAUUCCGAGUGUAGAGGUGAAAUUCGUAGAUAUUCGGAGGAACACCAGUGGCGAAGGCGGCUCACUGGCUCGAUACUGACGCUGAGGUGCGAAAGUGUGGGGAGCAAACAGGAUUAGAUACCCUGGUAGUCCACACCGUAAACGAUGAAUGCCAGUCGUCGGGUAGUAUACUAUUCGGUGACACACCUAACGGAUUAAGCAUUCCGCCUGGGGAGUACGGUCGCAAGAUUAAAACUCAAAGGAAUAGACGGGGACCCGCACAAGCGGUGGAGCAUGCGGUUUAAUUCGACGAUACGCGAAGAACCUUACCUGGACUUGACAUAGUAAGAACUUAUAAGAGAUUAUGAGGUGUCUGCUUGCAGAAGCUUAUAUACAGGUGCUGCACGGCUGUCGUCAGCUCGUGUCGUGAGAUGUUGGGUUAAGUCCCGCAACGAGCGCAACCCUCGUCGUUAGUUGCUAACAGUUCGGCUGAGAACUCUAACGAGACUGCCUGGGUAACCAGGGGGAAGGUGAGGACGACGUCAAGUCAUCAUGGCCCUUACGUCCAGGGCUACACACGUGCUA